AGGAAGGUAGGGCGGGCGUCGCU
Molecule: microRNA, 23 nt
Filed under: Taeniopygia guttata (zebra finch)
Lineage: Eukaryota; Metazoa; Chordata; Aves; Passeriformes; Estrildidae
Description: tgu-miR-2961
Source: miRBase by way of RNAcentral